GCAACUGAGGAAGCUCAACAUGUAAAAAAGUUGAUACAGGAAUAUAUUGCUUCUUUCAUCAAAGUUGGAGAUAAGGCAACUGAGGAAGCUCAACAUCUAAAAAAGUUGAUAAAAGACUAUAUUGCUUCUUUCAUCAAAGUAGGAGAUAAGGAAAUAUUCUUCCUCCAUGUCCGGCUAGCAGUGAUGGAUCUGAUCAGGAGGGUGAUGAGAAUGAUAAGUCUGAUAAGGAAAGUGAGGGUGAUGAGAAUGGUAAGUCUGAUAAGGAGAGUGAGGGUGAUGAGGAGUAGUUGUAUCUAUUUGACAUUUUAGACUUCUGUACUUUUGGAAUUGUUUAAUUUGAUCGUAUUUUAGUU
Long non-coding RNA from Solanum stenotomum, 353 nucleotides. RefSeq lists it as uncharacterized. NCBI's taxonomy places the organism in Eukaryota, Viridiplantae, Streptophyta, Magnoliopsida, Solanales, Solanaceae. The transcript has 3 exons. The record is from RefSeq and is a predicted model, not a curated record.